Molecule: ribosomal RNA, 523 nt
Filed under: uncultured bacterium
Lineage: Bacteria
Description: bacterial SSU rRNA
Rfam family: Bacterial small subunit ribosomal RNA
Source: RNAcentral
AGAGUUUGAUCCUGGCUUAGGAUGAACGCUAGCUACAGGCUUAACACAUGCAAGUCGAGGGGCAGCAUGGGAGUUGCUUGCAAUUCCCGAUGGCGACCGGCGCACGGGUGAGUAACGCGUAUCCAACCUUCCCGUCACUCAGGGAUAGCCCGCCGAAAGGCGAAUUAAUACCUGAUGAUCUCCUUUGCGGACAUCUAAUGAGGAGUAAAGGUUUUUCCGGUGACGGAUGGGGAUGCGUCUGAUUAGGUUGUUGGCGGGGUAACGGCCCACCAAGCCAUCGAUCAGUAGGGGUUCUGAGAGGAAGGUCCCCCACAUUGGAACUGAGACACGGUCCAAACUCCUACGGGAGGCAGCAGUGAGGAAUAUUGGUCAAUGGGCGAGAGCCUGAACCAGCCAAGUAAGCGUGGAGGAUGACGGCCCUACGGGUUGUAAACUCCUUUUAUCAGGGGAUAAAGUGCCCUACGUGUAGGGUUUUGCAGGUACCUGAUGAAUAAGGACCGGCUAAUUCCGUGCCAGCCGCAGC